UACGUAGGGUGCGAGCGUUGUCCGGAAUUAUUGGGCGUAAAGAGCUUGUAGGUGGUUUGUCGCGUCUGCUGUGAAAAUCCGAGGCUCAACCUCGGACUUGCAGUGGGUACGGGCAGACUAGAGUGUGGUAGGGGAGACUGGAAUUCCUGGUGUAGCGGUGAAAUGCGCAGAUAUCAGGAGGAACACCUAUGGCGAAGGCAGCUCGCUGGGACGGUACUGACGCUGAGACGCGAAAGCGUGGGGAGCGAACAGG
This 253-nucleotide ribosomal RNA is filed under the name uncultured bacterium. RNAcentral describes it as "partial 16S ribosomal RNA". It matches the Rfam family "Bacterial small subunit ribosomal RNA", at positions 524 to 776 of the family's 1533-position model. The record is from RNAcentral.